RNAcentral lists this ribosomal RNA (253 nucleotides) under uncultured bacterium. RNAcentral describes it as "partial 16S ribosomal RNA". It matches the Rfam family "Bacterial small subunit ribosomal RNA", at positions 524 to 776 of the family's 1533-position model. The record is from RNAcentral.
GACAGAGGUGCCAAGCGUUAGGCGGAAUCACUGGGCUUAAAGCGUGUGUAGGCGGAAUGGUAAGUACCUUGUGAAAUCCCACGGCUCAACCGUGGAACUGCUGGGUAUACUGCUUUUCUUGAGUCACUUAGGGGCUGUCGGAACAAACGGUGGAGCGGUGAAAUGCGUAGAUAUCGUCUGGAACGCCAAAGGUGAAAACAGCUCGCUGGGGUUGUGCUGACGCUGAGACACGAAAGCCAGGGGAGCGAACGGG